This is a small nucleolar RNA of Dipodomys spectabilis (banner-tailed kangaroo rat), 125 nucleotides long. RefSeq annotates it as small nucleolar RNA SNORA40. NCBI's taxonomy places the organism in Eukaryota, Metazoa, Chordata, Mammalia, Rodentia, Heteromyidae. The transcript has a single exon. The record is from RefSeq and is a predicted model, not a curated record.
AGCACUUCUCUGAUGUGAUUGUUUAACUUAUAGACAAAGACUUACAGGCAGGUGCAAAAAAUCCUCUUUUGCAACCCAGAACUCAUUGUUCAAUAUGAAUUUUGAAAUAUGUAAGAAGGAAUAUG